This 616-nucleotide long non-coding RNA is filed under the name Felis catus (domestic cat). Its description in RNAcentral is "lncRNA (ENSFCAG00000048277.1)". The record is from RNAcentral. Lineage: Eukaryota; Metazoa; Chordata; Mammalia; Carnivora; Felidae.
AAUAGUACGGUUUGAGAAUAAAAGAAAAUUCUAGUAGUCUCCUUUAAUCCUAAAUAACUUUGGCUCUUUUAUUAAUUAUGUUGUUCUUAAAACAGCUUGGAUACUAAAAAUGUCUGGCCGGAUGGAAUACAUGAAUCACUAGAGGAGAACUGAAUGUGACUUUCUUUUUAUUCGUUUAACACAUCCACAAUGAGAACAUCCACUGUAAGGUGACUUGCUUUGAUCCAGCUGCAAAUGCUCAUAUUGUUAAAAAGGAACCCACAGACCCAAAAUGGCAUCACGUAGCCAAGUCAUCAAAUUGAGGCGUAAGACCUAAUCUAAUUGCAGUUUCAACCCUCCUGAGAAAUUUAAGUCUUAGCCAGUCAUUUGGGAAUUUUCUGAUCAAACAAUAAGGUAAUCUGUCACAUGAACCCUUCUCUACCCCCUCUAUAAAGGAAGAUAAAACCUCCUACUCUUCCUGCUAAGGGAAAAUCAUCUGACCUGAAAAAAAUCCUUUUCUUUCGCUAAUAACUCCCUUGCACCACCUUCCUUCCUAUAAAAACCUUAUAUUUUGUAUAACUCCUUGGUGUUCCCCUUUACUUGCUAUAUGAAAUGCUCUCCAUUUCAUGAGUCAUUU